UCAGGCCUAACACAUGCAAGUCGAGCGGCAGCGGGAAAGUAGCUUGCUACUUUUGCCGGCGAGCGGCGGACGGGUGAGUAAUGCCUGGGAAAUUGCCCAGUCGAGGGGGAUAACAGUUGGAAACGACUGCUAAUACCGCAUACGCCCUACGGGGGAAAGCAGGGGACCUUCGGGCCUUGCGCGAUUGGAUAUGCCCAGGUGGGAUUAGCUAGUUGGUGAGGUAAUGGCUCACCAAGGCGACGAUCCCUAGCUGGUCUGAGAGGAUGAUCAGCCACACUGGAACUGAGACACGGUCCAGACUCCUACGGGAGGCAGCAGUGGGGAAUAUUGCACAAUGGGGGAAACCCUGAUGCAGCCAUGCCGCGUGUGUGAAGAAGGCCUUCGGGUUGUAAAGCAAAGCAGCGAGGAGGAAAGGUCAGUAGCUAAUAUCUG
This 432-nucleotide ribosomal RNA is filed under the name uncultured bacterium. RNAcentral describes it as "bacterial SSU rRNA". It matches the Rfam family "Bacterial small subunit ribosomal RNA", at positions 42 to 467 of the family's 1533-position model. The record is from RNAcentral.